GAAAUGCGGUAAGUAAUGUGAAUUGCAGAAUUCAGUGAAUCAUCGAAUCUUUGAACGCACCUUGCGCUCCUUGGUAUUCCUUGGAGCAUGCCUGUUUGAGUAUCAUGAAAUCUUCAAAGUAAAUCUUUUGUUAACUCAAUUGGUUUCUACUUUGGUAUUGGAGGUCUUUGCAGCUUCACACCUGCUCCUCUUUGUUCAUUAGCUGGAUCUCAGUGUUAUGCUUGGUUCCACUCGGCGUGAUAAGUUAUCUAUCGCUGAGGACACUGUAAAAGGUGGCCAAGGUAAAUGCAGAUGAAACGCUUCUAAUAGUCCAUUGACUUGGACAAUACUUUUAUGAUCUGAUCUCAAAUCAGGUAGGACUACCCGCUGAACUUAAGC
RNAcentral lists this unclassified non-coding RNA (378 nucleotides) under plant metagenome. RNAcentral describes it as "partial contains 5.8S ribosomal RNA, internal transcribed spacer 2, and large subunit ribosomal RNA". The stretch from base 1 to 105 matches the Rfam family "5.8S ribosomal RNA", at positions 50 to 154 of the family's 154-position model. The record is from RNAcentral.